RNAcentral lists this unclassified non-coding RNA (199 nucleotides) under soil metagenome. Its description in RNAcentral is "partial internal transcribed spacer 1". The record is from RNAcentral.
CCGAGUUUACAACUCCCAGACCCAAUGUGAACGUUACCAAACUGUUGCCUCGGCGGGAUCUCUGCCCCGGGUGCGUCGCAGCCCCGGACCAAGGCGCCCGCCGGAGGACCAACCAAAACUCUUAUUGUAUACCCCCUCGCGGGUUUUUUACUAUCUGAGCCAUCUCGGCGCCCCUCGUGGGCGUUUCGAAAAUGAAUCA